GAUGAACGCUGGCGGCGUGCUUAACACAUGCAAGUCGAACGAAGAUAUUUAGAAUGAGAGCUUCGGCAGGAUUUCUUUCCAUCUUAGUGGCGGACGGGUGAGUAACGUGUGGGCAACCUGCCCUGUACUGGGGAAUAAUCAUUGGAAACGAUGACUAAUACCGCAUGUGGUCCUCGGAAGGCAUCUUCUGAGGAAGAAAGGAUUUAUUCGGUACAGGAUGGGCCCGCAUCUGAUUAGCUAGUUGGUGAGAUAACAGCCCACCAAGGCGACGAUCAGUAGCCGACCUGAGAGGGUGAUCGGCCACAUUGGGACUGAGACACGGCCCAAACUCCUACGGGAGGCAGCAGUGGGGAAUAUUGCACAAUGGGCGAAAGCCUGAUGCAGCAACGCCGCGUGAAGGAUGAAGGGUUUCGGCUCGUAAACUUCUAUCAAUAGGGAAGAAACAAAUGACGGUACCUAAAUAAGAAGCCCCGGCUAACUACGUGCCAGCAGCCGCGGUAAUACGUAGGGGGCAAGCGUUAUCCGGAAUUACUGGGUGUAAAGGGAGCGUAGGCGGCAUGGUAAGCCAGAUGUGAAAGCCUUGGGCUUAACCCGAGGAUUGCAUUUGGAACUAUCAAGCUAGAGUACAGGAGAGGAAAGCGGAAUUCCUAGUGUAGCGGUGAAAUGCGUAGAUAUUAGGAAGAACACCAGUGGCGAAGGCGGCUUUCUGGACUGAAACUGACGCUGAGGCUCGAAAGCGUGNGGAGCANACAGG
RNAcentral lists this ribosomal RNA (754 nucleotides) under uncultured bacterium. RNAcentral's name for it is "bacterial SSU rRNA". It matches the Rfam family "Bacterial small subunit ribosomal RNA", at positions 28 to 776 of the family's 1533-position model. The record is from RNAcentral.